Molecule: ribosomal RNA, 406 nt
Filed under: uncultured bacterium
Lineage: Bacteria
Description: partial 16S ribosomal RNA
Rfam family: Bacterial small subunit ribosomal RNA
Source: RNAcentral
AUUGAACGCUGGCGGCAGGCCUAACACAUGCAAGUCGAACGAGUGGCGGACGGGUGAGUAAUGUCUGGGAAACUGCCCGUUGGAGGGGGAUAACUACUGGACACGGUAGCUAAUACCGCAUACCAUCGGAUGUGCCCACAUGGGAUUAGCUAGAGGGUGGGGUGACGGCCCACCUAGGCGACGAUCCCUAGCUGGUCUGAGAGGAUGACCAGCCACACUGGAACUGAGGCACGGUCCAGACUCCUACGUGAGGCAGCAGUGGGGAAUAUUGCACAAUGGGCGCAAGCCUGAUGCAGCCAUGCCGCGUGUAUGAAGAAGGCCUUCGGGUUGUAAAGGACUUUCAGCGAGGAGGCGUUACUCGCAGAAGAAGCACCGGCUAACUCCGUGCCAGCAGCCGCGGUAAUAC